GAUGAACGCUGACGGCGUGCCUAAUACAUGCAAGUCGAGCGAACGGACGAGAAGCUUGCGUCUCUGAUGUUAGCGGCGGACGGGUGAGUACACGUGGAUAACCUACCUAUAAGACUGGGAUAACUUCGGGAAACCGGAGCUAAUACCGGAUAAUAUUUUGAACCGCAUGGUUCAAAAGUGAAAGACGGUCUUGCUGUCACUUAUAGAUGGAUCCGCGCUGCAUUAGCUAGUUGGUAAGGUAACGGCUUACCAAGGCAACGAUGCAUAGCCGACCUGAGAGGGUGAUCGGCCACACUGGAACUUAGCCGCGGUCCAGACUCCUACGGGAGGCAGCAGUAUGGAAUCUUCCGCAAUGGGCGAAAGCCUUACGGAGCAACGCCGCGUGAGUGAUGACGGUCUUCCGAUCGUAAAACUCUGUUAUUAGGGAAGAACAUAUGUGUAAGUAACUGUGCACAUCUUGACGGUACCUAGUCAGAAAGCCACGGCUAACUACGUG
Molecule: ribosomal RNA, 496 nt
Filed under: uncultured bacterium
Lineage: Bacteria
Description: partial 16S ribosomal RNA
Rfam family: Bacterial small subunit ribosomal RNA
Source: RNAcentral